UGCAUUAUGAUGUAAUUGGUAACAUACAAGGCUCAUGUCCUUUUUAUAUACGUUCAAAUCGUGUUGAUGCAU
This 72-nucleotide transfer RNA is filed under the name Waltiozyma pijperi. RNAcentral's name for it is "Pichia pijperi tRNA". It matches the Rfam family "tRNA". From Rfam's summary of the family: Transfer RNA (tRNA) molecules are approximately 80 nucleotides in length. Lineage: Eukaryota; Fungi; Ascomycota; Saccharomycetes; Phaffomycetales; Wickerhamomycetaceae. The record is from Rfam by way of RNAcentral.